GUAUUUUUCAGCUCGGACAAAUCCUCUUUGACACCUCUGGCAGUGGGAGUUGAAGAAGACGACGAUGGCGAGGAGGGAGAAUCUGUUUGAUGGUAUUGAUUAGAUACGGAAUCGGAUUUGAGGGGUGAUUUGGGGUUGGCAACAGCAUUCUCUUCGUCUUCAUCGUCAUCAUCAAGCUUCAAUGAAUUUGCAAUGGAUCUGGCCAGCCAGGCCAUGGUAUAAUCUCAAUGCAG
Molecule: unclassified non-coding RNA, 233 nt
Filed under: Hevea brasiliensis (rubber tree)
Lineage: Eukaryota; Viridiplantae; Streptophyta; Magnoliopsida; Malpighiales; Euphorbiaceae
Source: RNAcentral